RNAcentral lists this ribosomal RNA (433 nucleotides) under uncultured bacterium. RNAcentral's name for it is "partial 16S ribosomal RNA". It matches the Rfam family "Bacterial small subunit ribosomal RNA", at positions 29 to 507 of the family's 1533-position model. The record is from RNAcentral.
AACGAACGCUGGCGGCAUGCCUAACACAUGCAAGUCGAACGAGACCUUCGGGUCUAGUGGCGCACGGGUGCGUAACGCGUGGGAACCUGCCCUUAGGUUCGGAAUAACUCCCCGAAAGGGGUGCUAAUACCGGAUAAUGUCUUCGGACCAAAGAUUUAUCGCCUUUGGAUGGGCCCGCGUUGGAUUAGCUAGUUGGUAGGGUAAAAGCCUACCAAGGCGACGAUCCAUAGCUGGUCUGAGAGGCUGAUCAGCCACACUGGGACUGAGACACGGCCCAGACUCCUACGGGAGGCAGCAGUGGGGGAUAUUGGACAAUGGGCGAAAGCCUGAUCCAGCAAUGCCGCGUGAGUGAUGAAGGCCUUAGGGUUGUAAAGCUCUUUUACCCGGGAUGAUAAUGACAGUACCGGGAGAAUAAGCUCCGGCUAACUCCGUG